UUAGGAUUAGGGUGGAGCUAGGGUUAGGGUUAGGGUUAGAGCUAGGGUUAGGGUUGGGGCUAGGGUUAGGGUUAGGGUUAGGGUUAAGGUUGGAGAUAGGGUUAGGGUUAGGGUUAGGGUUGGAGCUAGGAUUUUCUGGUGCAAUGAACCAACUCCCGAGUCUCUAAGACGUUCCUAAAAAUUAGAUUUUUUCCCAUAGGAAUGCAUGGGUUAGGGUUAGGGUUAGGGUUGGAGCUAGGGUUAGGGUUAGGGUUAGGGUUGGAGUUAGGGCUAGUGUUUAGGGUUAGGGUUGGGCUUGGAGCUAGGAUUUUCUGAGUGCAAUGAACCAACUCCCGAGUCUCUAGGACGUUCCUAAAAAAAUUUGAUUUUUUCCCAUAGGAAUGCAUGGGUUAGGGUUAGGGUUAGGGUUGGAGCUAGGGUUAGGGUUAGGGUUAAGGUUGGAGUUUGGGUUAGGGUUAGGGUUAGGGUUAGGGUGGAGCUAGGGUUAGGGUUAGGGUUAGAGCUAGGGUUAGGGUUGGGGCUAGGGUUAGGGUUAAGGUUGGCGCUAGGGUUAGGGUUACGGUUAGGGUUGGAGCUAGGGUUAGGGUUAGGGUUAGGGUUGGAGCUAGAGUUGGGGUUAGGGUUAGGGUUGGAGCUAGGGUUAAGGUUAGGGUUAAGGUUGGAGCUAGGGUUAGGGUUAGGAUUAGGGUGGAGCUAGGGUUAGGGUGAGGGUUAAGGUUGGAGCUAGGGUUAGGGUUAGGAUUAGGGUGGAGCUAGGGUUAGGGUUAGGGUUAGAGCUAGGGUUAGGGUUGGGGCUAGGGUUAGGGUUAAGGUUGGAGAUAGGGUUAGGGUUAGGGUUAGGGUUGGAGCUAGGGUUAGGGUUAGGGUUGGAGCUAGGGUUAGGGUUAGGGUUAGGGUUGGAUUUAGGGUUAGUGUUGGAGCUAGGGUUAGGGUUGGGCUUGGAGCUAGGAUUUUUCUGAGUGCAAUGAACCAACUCCCGAGUCUCUAGGACGUUCCUAAAAAAAUUUGAUUUUUUCCCAUAGGAAUGCAUGGGUUAGGGUUAGGGUUAGGGUUGGAGCUAGGGUUAGGGUUAGGGUUAGGGUUGGAUUUAGGGUUAGUGUUGGAGCUAGGGUUAGGGUUGGGCUUGGAGCUAGGAUUUUUCUGAGUGCAAUGAACCAACUCCCGAGUCUCUAGGACGUUCCUAAAAAAAAUUUAUUUUUUCCCAUAGGAAUGCAUGGGUUAGGGUCAGGGUUAGGGUUGGAGCUAGGGUUAGGGUUAGGGUUAGGGUUGGAGUUAGGGUUAGUGUUGGAGCUAGGGUUAGGGUUGGGCUUGGAGCUAGGAUUUUUCUGAGUGCAAUGAACCAACUCCCGAGUCUCUAGGACGUUCCUAAAAAAAUUUGAUUUUUUCCCAUAGGAAUGCAUGGGUUAGGGUUAGGGUUAGGGUUGGAGCUAGGGUUAGGGUUAGGGUUAGGGUUGGAGUUAGGGUUAGUGUUGGAGCUAGGGUUAGGGUUGGGCUUGGAGCUAGGAUUUUUCUGAGUGCAAUGAACCAACUCCCGAGUCUCUAGGACGUUCCUAAAAAAAUUUGAUUUUUUCCCAUAGGAAUGCAUGGGUUAGGGUUAGGGUUAGGGUUGGAGCUAGGGUUAGGGUUAGGGUUAGGGUUAGGGUUGGAGUUAGGGUUAGGGCAAGGGUUAAGGUUGGAGCUAGGGUUAGGGUUAUGGUUAGGAUUAGGGUGGAGCUAGGGUUAGGGUUAGGGUUAGAGCUAGGGUUAGGGUUGGGGCUAGGGUUAGGGUUAAGGUUGGAGCUAGGGUUAGGCUUAGGGUUAGGGUUGGAGCUAGGGUUAGGGUUAGGGUUAGGGUUGGAGCUAGGGUUAGGGUUAGGGUUAGGGUUGGAGUUAGGGUUAGGGUUAGGGUUGGAGCUAGGGUUAAGGUUAGGGUUAAGGUUGGAGCUAGGGUUAGGGUUAGGAUUAGGGUGGAGCUAGGGUUAGGGUUGGGCUUGGAGCUAGGGUUAGGGUUAGGAUUAGGGUGGAGCUAGGGUUAGGGUUAGGGUUAGAGCUAGGGUUAGGGUUGGGGCUAGAGUUAGGGUUAGGGUUAGGGUUAAGGUUGGAGAUAGGGUUAGGGUUAGGGUUAGGGUUGGAGCUAGGGUUAGGGUUAGGGUUAGGGUUGGAGCUAGGGUUAGGGUUAGGGUUAGGGUUGGAGCUAGGGUUAGUGUUGGAGCUAGGGUUAGGGUUGGGCUUGGAGCUAGGAUUUUUCUGAGUGCAAUGAACAAACUCCCGAGUCUCUAGGACGUUCCUAAAAAAAUUUGAUUUUUUCCCAUAGGAAUGCAUGGGUUAGGGUUAGGUGUGGGGUUGGAGCUAGGGUUAGGGUUAGGGUUAGGGUUGGAGUUAGGGUUAGGGUUAGGGUUAAGGUUGGAGCUAGGGUUAGGGUUAGGGUUAGGAUUAGGGUGGAGCUAGGGUUAGGGUUAGGGUUAGGGUUAGAGCUAGGGUUAGUGUUGGAGCUAGGGUUAGGGUUGGGCUUGGAGCUAGGAUUUUUCUGAGUGCAAUGAACCAACUCCCGAGUCUCUAGGACGUUCCUAAAAAAAUUUGAUUUUUUCCCAUAGGAAUGCAUGGGUUAGGGUUAGGGUUAGGGUUGGAGCUAGGGUUAGGGUAAGGGUUAGGGUUGGAGUUAGGGUUAGUGUUGGAGCUAGGGUUAGGGUUGGGCUUGGAGCUAGGAUUUUUCUGAGUGCAAUGAACCAACUCCCGAGUCUCUAGGACGUUCCUAAAAAUAUUUGUUUUUUUUCCCAUAGGAAUGCAUGGGUUAGGGUUAGGGUUAGGGUUGGAGCUAGGGUUAGGGUUAGGGUUAGGGUUGGAGUUAGGGUUAGUGUUGGAGCUAGGGUUAGGGUUGGGCUUGGAGCUAGGAUUUUUCUGAGUGCAAUGAACCAACUCCCGAGUCUCUAGGACGUUCCUAAAAAAAUUGAUUUUUUCCCAUAGGAAUGCAUGGGUUAGGGUUAGGGUUAGGGUUGGAGCUAGGGUUAGGGUUAGGGUUAGGGUUGGAGUUAGGGUUAGUGUUGGAGCUAGGGUAAGGGUUGGGCUUGGAGCUAGGAUUUUUCUGAGUGCAAUGAACCAACUCCCGAGUCUCUAGGACGUUCCUAAAAAAAAAUGAUUUUUUCCCAUAGGAAUGCAUGGGUUAGGGUUAGGGUUAGGGUUGGAGCUAGGGUUAGGGUUAGGGUUAGGGUUGGAGUUAGGGUUAGUGUUGGAGCUAGGGUUAGGGUUGGGCUUGGAGCUAGGAUUUUUCUGAGUGCAAUGAACCAACUCCCGAGUCUCUAGGACGUUCCUAAAAAAAUUUGAUUUUUUCCCAUAGGAAUGCAUGGGUUAGGGUUAGGGUUAGGGUUGGAGCUAGGGUUAGGGUUAGGGUUAGGGUUGGAGUUAGGGUUAGUGUUGGAGCUAGGGUUAGGGUUGGGCUUGGAGCUAGGAUUUUUCUGAGUGCAAUGAACCAACUCCCGAGUCUCUAGGACGUUCCUAAAAAAAAUUGAUUUUUUCCCAUAGGAAUGCAUGGGUUAGGGUUAGGGUUAGGGUUGGAGCUAGGGUUAGGGUUGGGGUUAGGGUUAGGGUUGGAGUUAGGGUUAGUGUUGGAGCUAGGGUUAGGGUUGGGCUUGGAGCUAGGAUUUUUCUGAGUGCAAUGAACCAACUCCCGAGUCUCUAGGACGUUCUUUAAAAAAUUUGAUUUUUUUCCAUAGGAAUGCAUGGGAAAAAAAAUUUGAAAAAUUUUUAAGUGCCAACCCAAUUUUUCACCUUCCAGAAUUGUGUUAGGAGCACAUUUCAGGGCACGGGGAGUCUAUAGAACCUAAUUCUGGGGGAAGUUUUUUGAAAAGUUUACUUGGGGUUUGGGUUAGGGUUAGGGUUGGAGCUAGGGUUAGGGUUAGGGUUAAGGUUGGAGCAAGGGUUAGGGUUAGGGUUGGAGCUAGGGUUAGGGUUAGGGUUAGAGCUAGGGUUUGGGCUAGGGUUAGGGUUAGGGUUAGGGUUAAGGUUGGAGCUAGGGUUAGGGUUAGGUGUGGGGUUGGAGCUAGGGUUAGGGUUAGGGUUAGGGUUGGAGUUAGGGUCAGUGUUGGAGCUAGGGUUAGGGUUGGGCUUGGAGCUAGGAUUUUUCUGAGUGCAAUGAACCAGCUCCCGAGUCUCUAGGACGUUCCUAAAAAAAUUUGAUUUUUUCCCAUAGGAAUACAUGGGUUAGGGUUAGGGUUAGGGUUGGAGCUAGGGUUAGGGUUAGGGUUAGGGUUGGAGCUAGGGUUAGUGUUGGAGCUAGGGUUAGGGUUGGGCUUGGAGCUAGGAUUUUUCUGAGUGCAAUGAACCAACUCCCGAGUCUCUAGGACGUUCCUAAAAAAAUUUGAUUUUUUCCCAUAGGAAUGCAUGGGUUAGGGUUAGGGUUAGGGUUGGAGCUAGGGUUAGGGUUAGGGUUAGGGUUGGAGUUAGGGUUAGUGUUGGAGCUAGGGUAAGGGUUGGGCUUGGAGCUAGGAUUUUUCUGAGUGCAAUGAACCAACUCCCGAGUCUCUAGGACGUUCCUAAAAAAAUUUGAUUUUUUCCCAUAGGAAUGCAUGGGUUAGGGUUAGGGUUAGGGUUGGAGCUAGGGUUAGGGUUAGGGUUAGGGUUGGAGUUAGGGUUAGUGUUGGAGCUAGGGUUAGGGUUGGGCUUGGAGCUAGGAUUUUUCUGAGUGCAAUGAACCAACUCCCGAGUCUCUAGGAUGUUGCUAAAAAAAUUUGAUUUUUUUCCAUAGGAAUGCAUGGGUUAGGGUUAGGGUUAGGGUUGGAGCUAGGGUUAGGGUUAGGGUUAGGGUUGGAGUUAGGGUUAGUGUUGGAGCUAGGGUUAGGGUUGGGCUUGGAGCUAGGAUUUUUCUGAGUGCAAUGAACCAGCUCCCAAGUCUCUAGGACGUUCCUAAAAAAAAUGAUUUUUUCCAAUAGGAAUGCAUGGGUUAGGGUUAGGGUUAGGGUUGGAGCUAGGGUUAGGGUUAGGGUUAGGGUUAGGGUUAGGGUUGGAGUUAGGGUUAGUGUUGGAGCUAGGGUUAGGGUUGGGCUUGGAGCUAGGAUUUUUCUGAGUGCAAUGAACCAACUCCCGAGUCUCUAGGACGUUCCUAAAAAAAUUUGAUUUUUUUCCAUAGGAAUGCAUGGGUUAGGGUUAGGGUUAGGGUUGGAGCUAGGGUUAGGGUUAGGGUUGGAGUUAGGGUUAGUGUUGGAGCUAGGGUUAGGGUUGGGCUUGGAGCUAGGAUUUUUCUGAGUGCAAUGAACCAACUCCCGAGUCUCUAGGACGUUCCUAAAAAAAUUUGAUUUUUUUCCAUAGGAAUGCAUGGGUUAGGGUUAGGGUUAGGGUUGGAGCUAGGGUUAGGGUUAGGGUUAGGGUUGGAGUUAGGGUUAGUGUUGGAGCUAGGGUUAGGUGUGGGCUUGGAGCUAGGAUUUUUCUGAGUGCAAUGAACCAAUUCCCGAGUCUCUAGGACGUUCCUAAAAAAAAUGAUUUUUUCCCAUAGGAAUGCAUGGGUUAGGGUUAGGGUUAGGGUUGGAGCUAGGGUUAGGGUUAGGGUUAGGGUUAGGGUUGGAGUUAGGGUUAGUGUUGGAGCUAGGGUUAGGGUUGGGCUUGGAGCUAGGAUUUUUCUGAGUGCAAUGAACCAACUCCCGAGUCUCUAGGACGUUCCUAAAAAAAUUUGAUUUUUUUUCCCAUAGGAAUGCAUGGGUUAGGGUUAGGGUUAGGGUUGGAGCUAGGGUUAGGGUUAGGGUUAGGGUUGGAGUUAGGGUUAGUGUUGGAGCUAGGGUUAGGGUUGGGCUUGGAGCUAGGAUUUUUCUGAGUGCAAUGAACCAACUCCCGAGUCUCUAGGACGUUCCUAAAAAUUUUGAUUUUUUUCCCAUAGGAAUGCAUGGGUUAGGGUUAGGGUUAGGGUUGGAGCUAGGGUUAGGGUUGGAGUUAGGGUUAGUGUUGGAGCUAGGGUUAGGGUUGGGCUUGGAGCUAGGAUUUUUCUGAGUGCAAUGAACCAACUCCCGAGUCUCUAGGACGUUCCUAAAAAAUUUGAUUUUUUCCCAUAGGAAUGCAUGGGUUAGGGUUAGGGUUAGGGUUGGAGCUAGGGUUAGGGUUAGGGUUAGGGUUGGAGUUAGGGUUAGUGUUGGAGCUAGGGUUAGGGUUGGGCUUGGAGCUAGGAUUUUUCUGAGUGCAAUGAACCAACUCCCGAGUCUCUAGGACGUUCCUAAAAAAAUUGAUUUUUUCCCAUAGGAAUGCAUGGGUUAGGGUUAGGGUUAGGGUUGGAGCUAGGGAUAGGGUUAGGGUUGGAGUUAGGGUUAGUGUUGGAGCUAGGGUAAGGGUUGGGCUUGGAGCUAGGAUUUUUCUGAGUGCAAUGAACCAACUCCCGAGUCUCUAGGACGUUCUUUAAAAAAUUUGAUUUUUUUCCAUAGGAAUGCAUGGGAAAAAAAAUUUGAAAAAUUUUUAAGUGCCAACCCAAUUUUUCACCUUCCAGAAUUGUGUUAGGAGCACAUUUCAGGGCACGGGGAGUCUAUAGAACCUAAUUCUGGGGGAAGUUUUUUGAAAAGUUUACUUGGGGUUUGGGUUAGGGUUAGGGUUGGAGCUAGGGUUAGGGUUAGGGUUAAGGUUGGAGCAAGGGUUAGGGUUAGGGUUGGAGCUAGGGUUAGGGUUAGGGUUAGAGCUAGGGUUAGGGUUAGGGUUUGGGCUAGGGUUAGGGUUAGGGUUAGGGUUAAGGUUGGAGCUAGGGUUAGGGUUAGGUGUGGGGUUGGAGCUAGGGUUAGGGUUAGGGUUAGGGUUGGAGUUAGGGUCAGUGUUGGAGCUAGGGUUAGGGUUGGGCUUGGAGCUAGGAUUUUUCUGAGUGCAAUGAACCAACUCCCGAGUCUCUAGGACGUUCCUAAAAAAAUUUGAUUUUUUCCCAUAGGAAUACAUGGGUUAGGGUUAGGGUUAGGGUUGGAGCUAGGGUUAGGGUUAGGGUUAGGGUUGGAGCUAGGGUUAGUGUUGGAGCUAGGGUUAGGGUUGGGCUUGGAGCUAGGAUUUUUCUGAGUGCAAUGAACCAACUCCCGAGUCUCUAGGACGUUCCUAAAAAAAUUUGAUUUUUUCCCAUAGGAAUGCAUGGGUUAGGGUUAGGGUUAGGGUUGGAGCUAGGGUUAGGGUUAGGGUUAGGGUUGGAGUUAGGGUUAGUGUUGGAGCUAGGGUUAGGGUUGGGCUUGGAGCUAGGAUUUUUCUGAGUGCAAUGAACCAACUCCCGAGUCUCUAGGACGUUCCUAAAAAAAUUGAUUUUUUCCCAUAGGAAUGCAUGGGUUAGGGUUAGGGUUAGGGUUGGAGCUAGGGUUAGGGUUUGGGUUAGGGUUGGAGUUAGGGUUAGUGUUGGAGCUAGGGUUAGGGUUGGGCUUGGAGCUAGGAUUUUUCUGAGUGCAAUGAACCAACUCCCGAGUCUCUAGGAUGUUGCUAAAAAAAUUUGAUUUUUUUCCAUAGGAAUGCAUGGGUUAGGGUUAGGGUUAGGGUUGGAGCUAGGGUUAGGGUUAGGGUUAGGGUUGGAGUUAGGGUUAGUGUUGGAGCUAGGGUUAGGGUUGGGCUUGGAGCUAGGAUUUUUCUGAGUGCAAUGAACCAACUCCCGAGUCUCUAGGACGUUCCUAAAAAAAUUUGAUUUUUUCCAAUAGGAAUGCAUGGGUUAGGGUUAGGGUUAGGGUUGGAGCUAGGGUUAGGGUUAGGGUUAGGGUUAGGGUUAGGGUUGGAGUUAGGGUUAGUGUUGGAGCUAGGGUUAGGGUUGGGCUUGGAGCUAGGAUUUUUCUGAGUGCAAUGAACCAACUCCCGAGUCUCUAGGACGUUCCUAAAAAAAUUUGAUUUUUUUCCAUAGGAAUGCAUGGGUUAGGGUUAGGGUUAGGGUUGGAGCUAGGGUUAGGGUUAGGGUUGGAGUUAGGGUUAGUGUUGGAGCUAGGGUUAGGGUUGGGCUUGGAGCUAGGAUUUUUCUGAGUGCAAUGAACCAACUCCCGAGUCUCUAGGACGUUCCUAAAAAAAUUUGAUUUUUUUCCAUAGGAAUGCAUGGGUUAGGGUUAGGGUUAGGGUUGGAGCUAGGGUUAGGGUUAGGGUUAGGGUUGGAGUUAGGGUUAGUGUUGGAGCUAGGGUUAGGUGUGGGCUUGGAGCUAGGAUUUUUCUGAGUGCAAUGAACCAAUUCCCGAGUCUCUAGGACGUUCCUAAAAAAAAUGAUUUUUUCCCAUAGGAAUGCAUGGGUUAGGGUUAGGGUUAGGGUUGGAGCUAGGGUUAGGGUUAGGGUUAGGGUUAGGGUUGGAGUUAGGGUUAGUGUUGGAGCUAGGGUUAGGGUUGGGCUUGGAGCUAGGAUUUUUCUGAGUGCAAUGAACCAACUCCCGAGUCUCUAGGACGUUCCUAAAAAAAUUUGAUUUUUUCCCAUAGGAAUGCAUGGGUUAGGGUUAGGGUUAGGGUUGGAGCUAGGGUUAGGGUUAGGGUUAGGGUUGGAGUUAGGGUUAGUGUUGGAGCUAGGGUUAGGGUUGGGCUUGGAGCUAGGAUUUUUCUGAGUGCAAUGAACCAACUCCCGAGUCUCUAGGACGUUCCUAAAAAAAUUUGAUUUUUUUCCAUAGGAAUGCAUGGGUUAGGGUUAGGGUUAGGGUUGGAGCUAGGGUUAGGGUUGGAGUUAGGGUUAGUGUUGGAGCUAGGGUUAGGGUUGGGCUUGGAGCUAGGAUUUUUCUGAGUGCAAUGAACCAACUCCCGAGUCUCUAGGACGUUCCUAAAAAAAAUUGAUUUUUUCCCAUAGGAAUGCAUGGGUUAGGGUUAGGGUUAGGGUUGGAGCUAGGGUUAGGGUUAGGGUUAGGGUUGGAGUUAGGGUUAGUGUUGGAGCUAGGGUUAGGGUUGGGCUUGGAGCUAGGAUUUUUCUGAGUGCAAUGAACCAACUCCCGAGUCUCUAGGACGUUCCUAAAAAAAAUUUGAUUUUUUCCCAUAGGAAUGCAUGGGUUAGGGUUAGGGUUAGGGUUGGAGCUAGGGAUAGGGUUAGGGUUGGAGUUAGGGUUAGUGUUGGAGCUAGGGUAAGGGUUGGGCUUGGAGCUAGGAUUUUUCUGAGUGCAAUGAACCAACUCCCGAGUCUCUAGGACGUUCUUUAAAAAAUUUGAUUUUUUUCCAUAGGAAUGCAUGGGAAAAAAAAUUUGAAAAAUUUUUAAGUGCCAACCCAAUUUUUCACCUUCCAGAAUUGUGUUAGGAGCACAUUUCAGGGCACGGGGAGUCUAUAGAACCUAAUUCUGGGGGAAGUUUUUUGAAAAGUUUACUUGGGGUUUGGGUUAGGGUUAGGGUUGGAGCUAGGGUUAGGGUUAGGGUUAAGGUUGGAGCAAGGGUUAGGGUUAGGGUUGGAGCUAGGGUUAGGGUUAGGGUUAGAGCUAGGGUUAGGGUUAGGGUUUGGGCUAGGGUUAGGGUUAGGGUUAGGGUUAAGGUUGGAGCUAGGGUUAGGGUUAGGUGUGGGGUUGGAGCUAGGGUUAGGGUUAGGGUUAGGGUUGGAGUUAGGGUCAGUGUUGGAGCUAGGGUUAGGGUUGGGCUUGGAGCUAGGAUUUUUCUGAGUGCAAUGAACCAGCUCCCGAGUCUCUAGGACGUUCCUAAAAAAAUUUGAUUUUUUCCCAUAGGAAUACAUGGGUUAGGGUUAGGGUUAGGGUUGGAGCUAGGGUUAGGGUUAGGGUUAGGGUUGGAGCUAGGGUUAGUGUUGGAGCUAGGGUUAGGGUUGGGCUUGGAGCUAGGAUUUUUCUGAGUGCAAUGAACCAACUCCCGAGUCUCUAGGACGUUCCUAAAAAAAUUUGAUUUUUUCCCAUAGGAAUGCAUGGGUUAGGGUUAGGGUUAGGGUUGGAGCUAGGGUUAGGGUUAGGGUUAGGGUUGGAGUUAGGGUUAGUGUUGGAGCUAGGGUAAGGGUUGGGCUUGGAGCUAGGAUUUUUCUGAGUGCAAUGAACCAACUCCCGAGUCUCUAGGACGUUCCUAAAAAAAUUGAUUUUUUCCCAUAGGAAUGCAUGGGUUAGGGUUAGGGUUAGGGUUGGAGCUAGGGUUAGGGUUUGGGUUAGGGUUGGAGUUAGGGUUAGUGUUGGAGCUAGGGUUAGGGUUGGGCUUGGAGCUAGGAUUUUUCUGAGUGCAAUGAACCAACUCCCGAGUCUCUAGGAUGUUGCUAAAAAAAUUUGAUUUUUUUCCAUAGGAAUGCAUGGGUUAGGGUUAGGGUUAGGGUUGGAGCUAGGGUUAGGGUUAGGGUUAGGGUUGGAGUUAGGGUUAGUGUUGGAGCUAGGGUUAGGGUUGGGCUUGGAGCUAGGAUUUUUCUGAGUGCAAUGAACCAGCUCCCGAGUCUCUAGGACGUUCCUAAAAAAAAAAUGAUUUUUUCCAAUAGGAAUGCAUGGGUUAGGGUUAGGGUUAGGGUUGGAGCAAGGGUUAGGGUUAGGGUUAGGGUUAGGGUUAGGGUUGGAGUUAGGGUUAGUGUUGGAGCUAGGGUUAGGGUUGGGCUUGGAGCUAGGAUUUUUCUGAGUGCAAUGAACCAACUCCCGAGUCUCUAGGACGUUCCUAAAAAAAUUUGAUUUUUUCCAUAGGAAUGCAUGGGUUAGGGUUAGGGUUAGGGUUGGAGCUAGGGUUAGGGUUAGGGUUAGGGUUGGAGUUAGGGUUAGUGUUGGAGCUAGGGUUAGGGUUGGGCUUGGAGCUAGGAUUUUUCUGAGUGCAAUGAACCAACUCCCGAGUCUCUAGGACGUUCCUAAAAAAAUUUGAUUUUUUUCCAUAGGAAUGCAUGGGUUAGGGUUAGGGUUAGGGUUGGAGCUAGGGUUAGGGUUAGGGUUAGGGUUGGAGUUAGGGUUAGUGUUGGAGCUAGGGUUAGGUGUGGGCUUGGAGCUAGGAUUUUUCUGAGUGCAAUGAACCAAUUCCCGAGUCUCUAGGACGUUCCUAAAAAAAAUGAUUUUUUCCCAUAGGAAUGCAUGGGUUAGGGUUAGGGUUAGGGUUGGAGCUAGGGUUAGGGUUAGGGUUAGGGUUAGGGUUGGAGUUAGGGUUAGUGUUGGAGCUAGGGUUAGGGUUGGGCUUGGAGCUAGGAUUUUUCUGAGUGCAAUGAACCAACUCCCGAGUCUCUAGGACGUUCCUAAAAAAAUUUGAUUUUUUUCCAUAGGAAUGCAUGGGUUAGGGUUAGGGUUAGGGUUGGAGCUAGGGUUAGGGUUAGGGUUAGGGUUGGAGUUAGGGUUAGUGUUGGAGCUAGGGUUAGGGUUGGGCUUGGAGCUAGGAUUUUUCUGAGUGCAAUGAACCAACUCCCGAGUCUCUAGGACGUUCCUAAAAAAAUUUGAUUUUUUUCCAUAGGAAUGCAUGGGUUAGGGUUAGGGUUAGGGUUGGAGCUAGGGUUAGGGUUAGGGUUAGGGUUGGAGUUAGGGUUAGUGUUGGAGCUA
Molecule: long non-coding RNA, 11333 nt
Filed under: Xyrichtys novacula (pearly razorfish)
Lineage: Eukaryota; Metazoa; Chordata; Actinopteri; Labriformes; Labridae
Source: RNAcentral